UACGGAGGGAGCUAGCGUUGUUCGGAAUUACUGGGCGUAAAGCGCACGUAGGCGGCGACACAAGUCAGAGGUGAAAGCCCGGGGCUCAACCCCGGAACUGCCUUUGAAACUAGGUUGCUAGAAUCUUGGAGAGGUCAGUGGAAUUCCGAGUGUAGAGGUGAAAUUCGUAGAUAUUCGGAAGAACACCAGUGGCGAAGGCGGCUCACUGGACGCAUAUUGACGCUGAGGUACGAAAGCGUGGGGAGCAAACAGGAUUAGAAACCCGUGUAGU
This 271-nucleotide ribosomal RNA is filed under the name uncultured bacterium. Its description in RNAcentral is "partial 16S ribosomal RNA". It matches the Rfam family "Bacterial small subunit ribosomal RNA", at positions 524 to 794 of the family's 1533-position model. The record is from RNAcentral.